This 497-nucleotide ribosomal RNA is filed under the name uncultured bacterium. RNAcentral's name for it is "partial 16S ribosomal RNA". It matches the Rfam family "Bacterial small subunit ribosomal RNA", at positions 28 to 507 of the family's 1533-position model. The record is from RNAcentral.
GAUGAACGCUGGCGGCGUGCCUAAUACAUGCAAGUCGAGCGAACGGACGAGAAGCUUGCUUCUCUGAUGUUAGCGGCGGACGGGUGAGUAGCACGUGGAUAACCUACCUAUAAGACUGGGAUAACUUCGGGAAACCGGAGCUAAUACCGGAUAAUAUUUUGAACCGCAUGGUUCAAAAGUGAAAGACGGUCUUGCUGUCACUUAUAGAUGGAUCCGCGCUGCAUUAGCUAGUUGGUAAGGUAACGGCUUACCAAGGCAACGAUGCAUAGCCUACCUGAGAGGGUGAUCGGCCACACUGGAACUGAGACACGGUCCAGACUCCUACGGGAGGCAGCAGUAGGGAAUCUUCCGCAAUGGGCGAAAGCCUGACGGAGCAACGCCGCGUGAGUGAUGAAGGUCUUCGGAUCGUAAAACUCUGUUAUUAGGGAAGAACAUAUGUGUAAGUAACUGUGCACAUCUUGACGGUACCUAAUCAGAAAGCCACGGCUAACUACGUG